CCUACUUCUCUGAGUUGUCUCUCAUCUCCAACAGCCUUUCCCAGAUGUCAAAUCUCUGUGCUCUCCCCCUCCCUUUUCUCUCCCUACCCUCCCACCUUUGUUCCUGUGACUUCACUGUUAGAACUCCACAGCUGGAACUUCCCUCAAACCUUCCAUUCGGUGUCUACUCAUCCUGCGCUCUCUCGGCAGCUUUUACUAAAGAGCCUGACGACUUCAUAAUUCAUGCCCUGAUGUCAUCUAGCCCAGGUCAAAACAAAGGUGUCUUUUUACAUACAUACGCCAUAUUCACCUUCAACACCAGUUUCAACAUGCUAUGUCCAGGGAGACUUAAAAUAACAAAACUAUUACAUCAUCUGUGUUUAGCAAGCAUUUCGCUGACAGCAGAAUUAUCAGCAUCAUGCCCAUGCUACAGAUGGGAACGCUUGUGCUUGUAUUACACAUCUUGUCCUCUGUUCUUUACAUUUGGAACAGCCAGGGGACGCCUUCAUGGCUCAUUUUUGGGCUUACUUCCCAUGGAAUUUCCUAACCUCAUCCCUCUGAGUCUCAUUCCUCAAGCUGGCUUCAUUCAAACUAAAGGAUUCUCAGGCGGACCACUCCUCCCAGGCAAAGGCACGGAUGUGCGUUUUCAGAAGGACCUUCAAAGUCUUAACACAAGGAGAAAAAUGCAUUCUGCAAAUGGAAGGGGAAGCAGGAGCUUAUUCAAAGGCUAUCACUGAGG
This 718-nucleotide long non-coding RNA is filed under the name Capra hircus (goat). RNAcentral's name for it is "lncRNA (ENSCHIG00000002129.1)". Lineage: Eukaryota; Metazoa; Chordata; Mammalia; Artiodactyla; Bovidae. The record is from RNAcentral.